GCCACACUUGUGAACGUGUCUUUUUCCGCUUUGCUGCCGCUGUUCUGUCGUCGCCAGCAGAGAGGAUGAGGCUAGUGCACGAGUUGACC
Molecule: microRNA precursor, 89 nt
Filed under: Tribolium castaneum (red flour beetle)
Lineage: Eukaryota; Metazoa; Arthropoda; Insecta; Coleoptera; Tenebrionidae
Description: microRNA tca-mir-316 precursor
Gene: tca-mir-316
Source: miRBase by way of RNAcentral